UGGGGAAUAUUGCACAAUGGGCGAAAGCCUGAUGCAGCAACGCCGCGUGAGUGAUGAAGGUCUUCGGAUUGUAAAGCUCUGUCUUUUGGGACGAUAAUGACGGUACCAAAGGAGGAAGCCACGGCUAACUACGUGCCAGCAGCCGCGGUAAUACGUAGGUGGCGAGCGUUGUCCGGAUUUACUGGGCGUAAAGGGUGCGUAGGCGGAUGUUUAAGUGAGAUGCGAAAUACCCGGGCUUAACUUGGGUGCUGCAUUUCAAACUGGAUAUCUAGAGUGCAGGAGAGGAGAAUGGAAUUCCUAGUGUAGCGGUGA
This 312-nucleotide ribosomal RNA is filed under the name uncultured bacterium. RNAcentral describes it as "partial 16S ribosomal RNA". It matches the Rfam family "Bacterial small subunit ribosomal RNA", at positions 355 to 684 of the family's 1533-position model. The record is from RNAcentral.